GGGGGCCGAGGCACUGUCCGAGA
Molecule: microRNA, 23 nt
Filed under: Bos taurus (domestic cattle)
Lineage: Eukaryota; Metazoa; Chordata; Mammalia; Artiodactyla; Bovidae
Description: Bta-Mir-128-P1_5p* (star (passenger))
Source: RNAcentral